Melospiza melodia melodia is the source of this 458-nucleotide long non-coding RNA. RefSeq lists it as uncharacterized. Lineage: Eukaryota; Metazoa; Chordata; Aves; Passeriformes; Passerellidae. The transcript has 3 exons. The record is from RefSeq and is a predicted model, not a curated record.
CGGCCCGCACCUCCGGGGCUAACGCCCUCUGUCCCUCUGCUCCUCUCGCCCUCUCUCUCUACAGCCCCGCUUCUUUCCCAUUUUUCUUCUUGCUCUAUCUUCUCUAGCCCUCUUAAGUAGGCACAUGUCAUCAACAGUUUUCUUCUGGUAUGAUCAAAGAACCAUACACAUUCACUCAAAUAAGAUGGAGAUCUGCAUAGUCAACAUCAAGAAGGGAUGAACUGACUGAAGGGAAAGUCGUGUGGAGACAGGAGGAUGGUCCUGUUUUGGCUUUGAAGAAUGACAGACUGGCAAAGUCUUACAACUGGAAUUUUGAAGGACACCAUAACAAAGAAAAAUUAACUUUUGCCUGACUAAGGGUUAUUUAAAUUGUAAAGUGCACACUCUGCAUAUGUUAACAAGCUCAAUUAAUUACAUGCUAUAACAUGUAUGACUAUUUUACAUAACUCACUACCUUU